CCUACGGGUGGCUGCAGUGAGGAAUAUUGGUCAAUGGGCGUAAGCCUGAACCAGCCAUCCCGCGUGCAGGAAGAAGGCGCUAUGCGUCGUAAACUGCUUUUCCAGGGGAAGAAAACCUGAUACGUGUAUCGGCUUGCCGGUACCCUGGGAAUAAGCAUCGGCUAACUCCGUGCCAGCAGCCGCGGUAAUACGGAGGAUGCGGGCGUUAUCCGGAUUUAAGGGUGUUAAAGGGGACUAAGGCGGAUGCGUUGAAACCCUUCAGCUUAACUGGAGACUUGCCAUUGAUACUGUUAGUCUUGAGUACGGUCAAGGUAGGCGGAAUGUGUAAUGUAGCGGUGAAAUGCUUAGAUAUUACACAGAACACCGAUUGCGAAGGCAGCUUACUGGGCCAUUACUGACGCUGAUGCACGAAAGCGUGGGGAGCGAACAGGAUUAGAUACCCCUGUAGUC
Molecule: ribosomal RNA, 450 nt
Filed under: uncultured bacterium
Lineage: Bacteria
Description: partial 16S ribosomal RNA
Rfam family: Bacterial small subunit ribosomal RNA
Source: RNAcentral